UCCGUAGGUGAACCUGCGGAGGGAUCAUUACAGAGUUGCGAAACUCCCCAAACCAUUGUGAACGUUACCUAAACCGUUGCUUCGGCGGGCGGCCCCGGGGUUUACCCCCCGGGCGCCCCUGGGCCCCACCGCGGGCGCCCGCCGGAGGUCACCAAACUCUUGAUAAUUUAUGGCCUCUCUGAGUCUUCUGUACUGAAUAAGUCAAAACUUUCAACAACGGAUCUCUUGGUUCUGGCAUCGAUGAAGAACGCAGCGAAAUGCGAUAAGUAAUGUGAAUUGCAGAAUUCAGUGAAUCAUCGAAUCUUUGAACGCACAUUGCGCCCGCCAGUAUUCUGGCGGGCAUGCCUGUUCGAGCGUCAUUUCAACCAUCAAGCCCCCCGGCUUGUGUUGGGGACCUGCGGCUGCCGCAGGCCCUGAAAAGCAGUGGCGGGCUCGCUGUCACACCGAGCGUAGUAGCAUACAUCUCGCUCUGGGCGUGCUGCGGGUUCCGGCCGUUAAACCACCUUUUAACCCAAGGUUGACCUCGGAUCAGGUAGGAAGACCCGCUGAACUUAAGCAUAUCAAUAAGCGGAGGAAAAGAAACCAACAGGGAUUGCCCUAGUAACGGCGAGUGAAGCGGCAACAGCUCAAAUUUGAAAUCUGGCCUCGGCCCGAGUUGUAAUUUGCAGAGGAAGCUUUAGGCGCGGCACCUUCUGAGUCCCCUGGAACGGGGCGCCAUAGAGGGUGAGAGCCCCGUAUAGUUGGAUGCCUAGCCUGUGUAAAGCUCCUUCGACGAGUCGAGUAGUUUGGGAAUGCUGCUCAAAAUGGGAGGUAAAUUUCUUCUAAAGCUAAAUACCGGCCAGAGACCGAUAGCGCACAAGUAGAGUGAUCGAAAGAUGAAAAGCACUUUGAAAAGAGGGUUAAAUAGCACGUGAAAUUGUUGAAAGGGAAACGCUUGAAGU
RNAcentral lists this small RNA (941 nucleotides) under uncultured fungus. RNAcentral describes it as "eukaryotic LSU rRNA". The stretch from base 519 to 941 matches the Rfam family "Eukaryotic large subunit ribosomal RNA", at positions 1 to 429 of the family's 3401-position model. Lineage: Eukaryota; Fungi. The record is from RNAcentral.